CAUGGACUGUAAUUUAGUUCAAUUCAGAACUGCAGAUAGUACAGCUUCCACAGGAGCAAGGGAUGUCUGGGCACAAGUGGCUGAGUUCUGAGUGACUUUAUAAAGCACUUUCUACCUUCCUCCGGCAUGAAAACAGGGAUUCUGCACCUGCGUCAUGGACAGUCUGGCAAAAGCCUCUGCUCUGCCUCUGCGGACAAGGAACUAAAGCAAAUGACCAUUUUGAAAUUAGAUCCUGGCAAAAUUACCCACAAUGAAUGAUGGAAACUGAAGGCAGAUUGAUUUAAAUCUUCAAUGACAAUUGUACAGAAGUUGAAGAAGCAUGUCAUGUUUCCAAAGAAGAGUGAGGAGCUUGGUUGGUCAUGCCCUAAAAUUAGGGCAUGAUUGAGGUACGUCAUUUCUUUUAGUUCUGUCAAAGUGCUUUGCUCUUUCCAUUGCAGAGAAUUUCUUCUUCUUUUUUUCAAUCUCUCUCUCUUCCUCUUCUUCCUCUCAUUAGUAGAUGUCUUUUAUGAUUGAUGUCAUUUACUCUCCUUUCAUCAAACGUAUGCCACAUCACUUAGGCGAACCAGCAGACAGGACACCAAAACACACAUUAGAGGGGACUGGCUUCCAUGAGACGCUUCGACUGUCUCAUCAGAGCACUUGUAAUAAGCAUCUUGGUGCCACUGAAUGCAAUGCUGUAUUUAAAUAAUAGCUUUCAUCUUCACUCUUUUUAAAUAUAAAAGUAAACCUUGAAGCCCUUUGAAGGACCUCACUAAACAACAUACGUAUGAAAAUAGAUCAGUAAGGCUUUGAGAAGCAUUCUUAAGUAAAAUCUGUAAAGCAUCUUUGCAUUUUUUUCAAAAAAGACCUCCAGGUAAAUGAUGGCUUUUAAUAAGACACAUGACAAUCUCAAUUACAAGAAUCAUUAGUGUGUGCCCUGCGUGCCAUUUUAUGUUCCCAGCAGGAUAUAUCUUUUCUCAUCAAGGGUUUCCAGGGCUGUCUACUGUUCUCUGUGUGUAAAACAUAUUCAAGUGUUCCCCCAGUGCUGAGCUAAUGUUAAAAACGAAGCAAAACAAAACAAAAACCGAGAAAACCUUCGUCAAGUGGUCAGACAGACUGGAACUAGAGGAUUAUAGGUAAGACGGAUAAAAUGAAGGGUUGAAAGCUAUAAUUUCUAUUCUCGUGGUGGCAACCACAUCAGCUAUUGGAGUCAGGCAAUUUAAAGAUGUGGCUACUGGAGCUCAGAGUCUGGGAGGAAGACACCUCUGCAUCUGACAGUGACUCAGGCCCCAGUUUUGAAGAUGUGCUGUAGGUGAUCCCUUGCUGGAUCCAUUUCCCAGUUAGUUUCUAUUCCUCGCUCCGUUCCUGUGUCCCCACACUUUCCACUUGAUUUGAUCUCUUUGACCAUUCCGUAUUUUACCUUCCUUCUCAUUCCUCUUUCCCUACCCUUUUGUUUUAACUGUAGUUUCUUGGCCUCUGGCUACUGUUCCGUGCUGGAUGUCCCCAGGAAUCAGAUUAAGUUUAGAAAGGAGGCAGUGCAUCCCAGAAGGGCCUGUCCAAUCCACUAGUUCAUUUUUGAACAUGUUGUGUUCUACGUGUGUCAGGAACAUUUGUAGAUGAAGUAAUUUGAGGCAUGAAUUUUGAUAGAAUCGGGGACACCAAUAAAAUGAUAAAUUUACGUACCUGUCUAAUUUGCGUGAUAUUCACUGGGAUCUUGAGAAUUCAAUUUAUAAUUUGUCUUUAUUCUUAUUUUUCAUUAGAAUUAACAGAAUCCCAGAGCUUGUAGAAAAUAUAGAAACUGUAUAAUACAACCCUCAUAUUCAGAUGAAGAAAAUGAAGCACAAAAAAUAAUCUGUCCUAAGCCAUUCAGCUUGUCUCUAAGUGCUAUUGGCUUAAUUAUAGUUUUCCAUAUAUUUAGACAAGAAAAUACUUUCUCAGAAACUGGUUAGGACUGUUUGAGAAGAAAUAUAAUCGUCAAAACAUAUACACAGUAAAAUAUAACCAUCCAUCAUUUAACAUAGGCAAGAAUAUGUAUUGAAUUGCCUGAGUGUGUUAUUCACAUAGCAAAACUUACUUUGAUGGUAAAUAAAUCUUCUGACUUCUGUAUAUGUAUAACAUAUAUAAACCAGCCAAAUUCUGUACAUAAAUAAAUAUUAUUUUUGGAUACCAGUACAAUCCCUAUUUCACUUUUUUUUUGCAUUCCAGUUAUUUAUUACUUACAGUUCUGUAGUUUUAACCAGAACAAAGGGAUUACCCAGAAGAAAAGAAGGUAAGCUAUUUCAUCAGUUUUGCUGGAGAUCAGAAGGUUUUGUUUUCUAUUAUCAGCUUUGUAUUCUUUUAAAAAAAAUGAAGGAAAAAAAAAUCUCAUCUUCUCAUUUCUAAGGAUUCCCAUAAAAAUUGGCAGUGGUGAGGUGGGGAGGAAAAGCAUUGCCAAUAAACAGCUAGAUUCUAUUACUGGAGGCAAUCAGCUUUAUUCUACAGAAAUAUAGUUUGUUCUUGAAUGUAUAAUAGACAUAAUAUUUUUAAAACCAACAUAUUAAAUACACCAGUAAAUAUUUUUGUUAAGCAAGGCUUUUAAACUUUAAAUUAUACCCCUAAACUGGCUUUCUAGUUUUCUAAAGAAAUAAAGUAAUUUUAAAGGAAAUAAGCACUCAGAUUAAUAUUUUAAAUACCAUACAAAAAUGUGUGUGGUGAUGUUAUUGAAAAUGAGGAUUUUUGAAAACUAAAAAAGCAAAAAGUCAUUGCUCCAAAAGCCUUCAAGACUGUCUUAAGAUUAGCAAUGCAAGUCUUAGAUGUAUUUAGGAAAUAUAAUUUUAUUAGCUUUCUAAUUAUAAGCGUAUUUUGAUUCAGAUGUUUAAAAUAUGGUCAUCUCUUCAGGCAAAGAUGAACAUUUUGAUGAAAUAACAAUACUUGAGGUGUUUUCUAUUUCCACAAUUAAGAGCUAACUGUUAUUUUUUCAGAUCAUAUGUUUCAGUCUCAAAAUGUUGAGAACACAUCUCAAUGAAAUAAAAAUAAUCUUUUUUUUUUAAAGAAACCAGAAUCAUGUGGCAGUCGGCAGGCUUAAUUUGUAUUUUAUGGACUCCAAAUUCAGAUGAAUGUCAUCAAGAUCUGAAUUGUCUCCAUGGCUGUCAUAAUUUAAAUAGUAAUAUCAAAAAUAUACACUGCUAUCAUAUAAUUAAUUCUGAUAUAGAGAAACUUGAAUUUUCUUAGCCAAAAAACACACGGGGAAAUCAUCACAAUGAGGAUGAACAUAAAUAUUUUUUCUUGGUACUCUAUAGACUUCUCUGUAACAGUCGAUAUGAAGAUAUCAUCAGAGUUUGCAGGUGUAAAGGUAUCUAUAAUCAAAUAUAGCUGAAAUAAUGAGGCUUCACACCAACUGCCUUUCCUAGAAUCAUCACAGACAGGAAGUACAGCUGGGUAUCACCUGCCUAUAUUCCACAAAUAGCACUGAAGGACCUAACUCAAUGAAACUUGAAAUCAGGUUGCACAAAAAUACAUUAUUCCCAAUUUCUAUUUUCAUAUUGCUAGAUAAAUUAUAAAUUCACAGCAACAUUUGUCUUUAGUUUACAAAAUCAUACUAAAUUUUGAGUGACACCUUUAGCCAGGGAACCCUAGAAAUAUCUUUUGGCUAAUAAGUAAAAAGUUCAUAAUGUGCACUAGAGAAAACAUUUCCAGAGCUAAUGUAAGAGUUUUCGAAAGACACAAUAAAAGGUAUAUUUUCAUCAAACGCUUAUAUUGUUUAGAAAUUGGACUGUGCUUUAGUAUUUUAUCAACUAAUUUUCAAUCACAAAGAAAAUUUAGAAAGAGAUGAAAGAGAAAUAAAAGUCUUAUUAGGAAGAGUAAUUAUAUAGAUAGUAGAAUGACUACUUUUUACAAGAAGCAGUAAUUUCAUAAUGUAAUGGCCUCCUUUUCAGAAACAAGAAAGUGAUUAACAAAGCUAAACAUUUACACAGGGCAAUGUACCAUAUAACUCAAAAUGCCAGGGCAAAAAAUGUUAGUUAAUAAAUGGAGAUUCAAUGCUUGUCUGUAAUCAUUAGUCAUAGUUUCUGCACUUAGAAGGAAAACUCUCCCCAGGAGUUGAGAAUUAGAGUGGAGGUAGAGAUUUUGAGUAUGAGAAAAGGGAAUUUCAUUCAUCUUGCAGGGUUACACUGCUAUGAUGGAAGGCUUUCAUUUUUCAAGCAGGAAACAUGGAAAUUAUAGUAACUAUGGUCAAUUUAUAUUGGCCUAGAGAACACUUUAUUUCUCUCUGGCCCAGAAUUUCUCAACAGGUGCCACCAUUGAUACUUUGGACCAGAUAAUUCUUUGUCCUUGGAAGAUUUGCUGUGCAUUGGAGGAUGUUUAUCAGUAUUAUUGACUGCUUUCCACUAGAUUCCAAUAGGACUCCCUCCCACUAUGGUGAUACCUAUAUAUUGCUGAAUGUUCUCUAGAGAACAAAAUCUGCUUACACUACUUGUCUAGGCAUUUUUGCUUUCUUCAUUUAUCUUUAUGCAAAAUGAGUUUUAUUGGUCCUUUGCAUUAACAUUAAUAGGAAAUUUGCAUAGAGAAAACUUAUGUAUUAAAAGUAGCUCUAUACUGCAAACGUUUCUGCAGGACAUAAAAAUAAGAAUCGCACUGGUGCAUUCAUCUCUUGAAAUAUUUGCUGUACAAUACAUAUUGAAUGCUGAGAGAUACUGAAUGUAGGCUCAUAUUUUGUGCCUUGUUUGAAAAUUUGCAAUGUAAGUAAAGUAAAUCGAUGUAAAAUGCUUGCCUUUGGGCAUGAAAAAGUUUUCUUUUGUAUUAUAGUUAAAUAUGGUAAUAUGUUUUUAGAGGUAACUUUCUGUGGCAGUGAACAAAACAAGACCCUACUAUAAUGAUUCCACGUGCAGCUGAUUUUAACAGAACAGUAGCCUUCACUGUGCUUUUCCAUAAAUGUUGGUUUUAUCCAUGUAUUAAAGCACAGGUUUCUUGGGAGAACACCCUAAAUAGUGAGAGUGAAAGAUAAAAUCUGAAGAGAAUUUGGAAAUCGUCAUUGAAUGGAGCUCAUAAACAUGCUAAUUAUGUCUAAAAUUUGGACUGUCAACAUUUUUUUAACUAAUGAUGAGAUGGUAGAGAAGUUAUUAACUUAAUACGCCUCUAUGUGUGUGUGUAUGUGUGUGUGUGUGUGUGUGUGCGUGUGUGUGUGUGUGUGUGUCUGUCUGUCUGUCUUUUGGUGGAAAUAAAUUCAUAAGAAAGGAAAAAAUAGUAGUCACUUGGAAGCCUAGGAGGCAAGUCAAUAAAAAAGAAAUAUCCAGGUAGUAUGAAAUCUUAAGCUUUACACAAUAGAAAUAAAAAUAUUAUAUGGAAUUGAACUAUUAUUGUUUCAAAAAUGGUGAAAAUUGUUAAACCAGUAACUUGUAGCUUAGUUUGU
Sapajus apella (tufted capuchin) is the source of this 5365-nucleotide long non-coding RNA. RefSeq lists it as uncharacterized. The transcript has 2 exons. The record is from RefSeq and is a predicted model, not a curated record. NCBI's taxonomy places the organism in Eukaryota, Metazoa, Chordata, Mammalia, Primates, Cebidae.